Rhinopithecus roxellana (golden snub-nosed monkey) is the source of this 2073-nucleotide RNA transcript. It is a transcript of the gene named protein PRRC2C pseudogene, with no coding region annotated. The record is from RefSeq and is a predicted model, not a curated record. NCBI's taxonomy places the organism in Eukaryota, Metazoa, Chordata, Mammalia, Primates, Cercopithecidae. The transcript has a single exon.
AUCUCGGUAUCAUCUGCAGAAUAUGGUACUAAUGCAAAGGAGUCUGUAACAGACUAUACUACACCCUCUUCUUCUCUGCCUAACACUGUGGCUACUAAUAACACAAAGAUGGAGGAUACUUUGGUUAAUAAUGUGCCCCUGCCUAACACCCUUCCCUUCCCUAAGAGAGAGACUAUACAACAGAGCUCCAGCCUAACUUCAGGUCCUCCCACUACUUUCAGCCUCACCUUCAAGAUGGAGUCUGCACGCAAGGAUAGGGAGAAUUCUCCAAAUGUAAGGGAAAAGGGGUCUCCAGUAACUUCCACAGCACCUCCAAUUGCAACUGGAGUCAGCAGUAGUGCCAGUGCACCAAGCACUGCUAAUUAUAAUUCGUUCUCAAGUGCAUCGAUGCCCCAGAUUCCUGUUGCUUCAGUCACUCCUACAACAUCACUAUCAGGAGCUGGUACGUACACUACCUCUUCUUUGAGCACAAAAUCUACAACCACAUCGGACCCUCCAAAUAUUUGUAAAGUGAAACCUCAGCAGUUGCAGACAAGCAGCCUGCCUUCUGCAAGUCAUUUUUCACAGUUAAGCUGUUUGCCUUCCCUUAUUGCCCAGCAACAACAGAGUCUGCAAGUUUAUGUGUCUCAGUCUGCAGCAGCUCAAAUCCCAGCCUUCUAUAUGGACACAAGUCAUUUAUUUAAUACCCAGCAUGCACGAUUGGCUCCACCAUCCUUGGCUCAACAACAGGGUUUCCAACCAGGUCUCUCUCAGCCAACUUCAGUUCAGCAGAUUCCAAUCCCUAUUUAUGCACCACUGCAAGGGCAGCAUCAAGCCCAACUGAGUUUGGGGGCUGGACCUGCUGUUUCCCAGGCUCAGGAAUUGUUCAGCUCUUCACUUCAACCAUAUAGAUCUCAGCCAGCUUUUAUGCAAAGCAGUUUAUCCCAGCCAUCUGUGGUCCUUUCUGGGACUGCUAUUCACAACUUUCCAACUGUCCAACACCAAGAACUUGCCAAGGCACAAUCUGGUCUUGCCUUUCAGCAAACAUCAAAUACCCAGCCUAUUCCCAUAUUGUAUGAACAUCAACUGGGGCAGGCAUCAGGACUAGGAGGUUCCCCGCUGAUUGACACACAUCUUCUCCAGGCUAGAGCAAAUCUUACCCAGGCUUCAAAUCUUUAUUCUGGACAAGUACAACAGCCUGGUCAGACAAAUUUUUAUAACACUGCCCAGUCACCAAGUGCUCUCCAGCAGGUUACAGUACCUUUACCAGGAUCCCAGCUUUCCUUGCCUAAUUUUGGAUCUACAGGGCAACCUCUAAUUGCUUUGCCUCAGACUCUUCAGUCCCCGUUACAGCAUACCACUCCCCAAGCACAGGCUCAGAGUCUGAGUCGUCCUGCACAAGUAAGCCAGCCUUUCAGAGGAUUAAUUCCUGCUGGAACACAGCAUAGCAUGAUUGCAACCACAGGAAAAAUGUCUGAAAUGGAACUAAAAGCCUUUGGAAGUGGCAUUGAUAUAAAACCAGGCACACCUCCAAUCGCUGGUAGAAGCACCACACCAACAUCUAGUCCCUUCCGGGCUACUUCUACAAGUCCGAACAGCCAGUCCAGCAAAAUGAACAGUAUUGUCUACCAGAAGCAGUUCCAGUCAGCCCCUGCCACUGUGAGAAUGACACAAACCGUUUCCUACACAGUUUGCACCCCAGAAGAGAGCUGUGGGAAGAGGACUCAGCCACAAGACAUUUGGUCCUAGGUGUUGGCAAAGCAGAGAGCAGAGGUUCUUCAGUCCACGCAACGGUUCUUCUCUGAACAGCAUCAGAGCAAACAGAUAGGAGGCAAAGCCCAGAAAGUGGACAGUGAUUCAAGUAAACCUCCUGAAACACUGACCGACCCUCCUGGUGUCUGUCAGGAAAAAGUAGAAGAAAAGCCACCCCCUGCACCCUCCAUAGCCACCAAACCUGUUAGAACUGGACCAAUCAAACCUCAGGCAAUCAAAACCGAAGAAACAAAAUCUUAAAGGCUAUGGUUUAUUGCAGGGGAUUGGGGGUGGGGGGAGGGAAAACAUGGAGAAUUAAGUCAGAUAAUGCCAGCAGCCAAA